UCAAACUUGGUCAUUUAGAGGAAGUAAAAGUCGUAACAAGGUUUCCGUAGGUGAACCUGCGGAAGGAUCAUUAACGUAUCUCUGACGGCGAGGGCGAGCCCUGCUCUGGACCGAAAGGCCUGUCGAGCAGGCGACCCCGAGUCGCUCAACCUUUACAAACCCACCGUGCACUCUUGUCGGCGGUAGGGGCUUCGCGGCCCCGAUGCCGGUUCACAAACACCGAAACGUUUGAAGAAUGUCUAGCGGACUCCGUUCCGCCUAAAUAUUUAACAACUUUCAACAACGGAUCUCUUGGCUCUCGCAUCGAUGAAGAACGCAGC
Molecule: unclassified non-coding RNA, 320 nt
Filed under: uncultured fungus
Lineage: Eukaryota; Fungi
Description: partial contains small subunit ribosomal RNA, internal transcribed spacer 1, and 5.8S ribosomal RNA
Rfam family: Eukaryotic small subunit ribosomal RNA (bases 1-73)
Source: RNAcentral